GACGAACGCUGGCGGCGUGCUUAACACAUGCAAGUCGAACGGAAAGGCCCUGCUUUUGUGGGGUGCUCGAGUGGCGAACGGGUGAGUAACACGUGAGUAACCUGCCCUUGACUUUGGGAUAACUUCAGGAAACUGGGGCUAAUACCGGAUAGGAGCUCCUGCUGCAUGGUGGGGGUUGGAAAGUUUCGGCGGUUGGGGAUGGACUCGCGGCUUAUCAGCUUGUUGGUGGGGUAGUGGCUUACCAAGGCUUUGACGGGUAGCCGGCCUGAGAGGGUGACCGGCCACAUUGGGACUGAGAUACGGACGAGACGCCGACGGGAGGCAGCAGUGGGGAAUAUUGCACAAUGGGCGGAAGCCUGAUGCAGCAACGCCGCGUGCGGGAUGACGGCUGUCGGGUUGUAAACAGCGUUCGCCUGUGAAGAAGCGGGAGGGACGGUAAUGGGUAAAGAAGCACCGGCUAACUACGUG
This 468-nucleotide ribosomal RNA is filed under the name uncultured bacterium. Its description in RNAcentral is "partial 16S ribosomal RNA". It matches the Rfam family "Bacterial small subunit ribosomal RNA", at positions 28 to 507 of the family's 1533-position model. The record is from RNAcentral.